Molecule: ribosomal RNA, 2932 nt
Filed under: Escherichia coli
Lineage: Bacteria; Pseudomonadati; Pseudomonadota; Gammaproteobacteria; Enterobacterales; Enterobacteriaceae
Description: 23S ribosomal RNA
Rfam family: Bacterial large subunit ribosomal RNA
Source: RNAcentral
GGGUUGUGAGGUUAAGCGACUAAGCGUACACGGUGGAUGCCCUGGCAGUCAGAGGCGAUGAAGGACGUGCUAAUCUGCGAUAAGCGUCGGUAAGGUGAUAUGAACCGUUAUAACCGGCGAUUUCCGAAUGGGGAAACCCAGUGUGUUUCGACACACUAUCAUUAACUGAAUCCAUAGGUUAAUGAGGCGAACCGGGGGAACUGAAACAUCUAAGUACCCCGAGGAAAAGAAAUCAACCGAGAUUCCCCCAGUAGCGGCGAGCGAACGGGGAGCAGCCCAGAGCCUGAAUCAGUGUGUGUGUUAGUGGAAGCGUCUGGAAAGGCGCGCGAUACAGGGUGACAGCCCCGUACACAAAAAUGCACAUGCUGUGAGCUCGAUGAGUAGGGCGGGACACGUGGUAUCCUGUCUGAAUAUGGGGGGACCAUCCUCCAAGGCUAAAUACUCCUGACUGACCGAUAGUGAACCAGUACCGUGAGGGAAAGGCGAAAAGAACCCCGGCGAGGGGAGUGAAAAAGAACCUGAAACCGUGUACGUACAAGCAGUGGGAGCACGCUUAGGCGUGUGACUGCGUACCUUUUGUAUAAUGGGUCAGCGACUUAUAUUCUGUAGCAAGGUUAACCGAAUAGGGGAGCCGAAGGGAAACCGAGUCUUAACUGGGCGUUAAGUUGCAGGGUAUAGACCCGAAACCCGGUGAUCUAGCCAUGGGCAGGUUGAAGGUUGGGUAACACUAACUGGAGGACCGAACCGACUAAUGUUGAAAAAUUAGCGGAUGACUUGUGGCUGGGGGUGAAAGGCCAAUCAAACCGGGAGAUAGCUGGUUCUCCCCGAAAGCUAUUUAGGUAGCGCCUCGUGAAUUCAUCUCCGGGGGUAGAGCACUGUUUCGGCAAGGGGGUCAUCCCGACUUACCAACCCGAUGCAAACUGCGAAUACCGGAGAAUGUUAUCACGGGAGACACACGGCGGGUGCUAACGUCCGUCGUGAAGAGGGAAACAACCCAGACCGCCAGCUAAGGUCCCAAAGUCAUGGUUAAGUGGGAAACGAUGUGGGAAGGCCCAGACAGCCAGGAUGUUGGCUUAGAAGCAGCCAUCAUUUAAAGAAAGCGUAAUAGCUCACUGGUCGAGUCGGCCUGCGCGGAAGAUGUAACGGGGCUAAACCAUGCACCGAAGCUGCGGCAGCGACGCUUAUGCGUUGUUGGGUAGGGGAGCGUUCUGUAAGCCUGUGAAGGUGUGCUGUGAGGCAUGCUGGAGGUAUCAGAAGUGCGAAUGCUGACAUAAGUAACGAUAAAGCGGGUGAAAAGCCCGCUCGCCGGAAGACCAAGGGUUCCUGUCCAACGUUAAUCGGGGCAGGGUGAGUCGACCCCUAAGGCGAGGCCGAAAGGCGUAGUCGAUGGGAAACAGGUUAAUAUUCCUGUACUUGGUGUUACUGCGAAGGGGGGACGGAGAAGGCUAUGUUGGCCGGGCGACGGUUGUCCCGGUUUAAGCGUGUAGGCUGGUUUUCCAGGCAAAUCCGGAAAAUCAAGGCUGAGGCGUGAUGACGAGGCACUACGGUGCUGAAGCAACAAAUGCCCUGCUUCCAGGAAAAGCCUCUAAGCAUCAGGUAACAUCAAAUCGUACCCCAAACCGACACAGGUGGUCAGGUAGAGAAUACCAAGGCGCUUGAGAGAACUCGGGUGAAGGAACUAGGCAAAAUGGUGCCGUAACUUCGGGAGAAGGCACGCUGAUAUGUAGGUGAAGCGACUUGCUCGUGGAGCUGAAAUCAGUCGAAGAUACCAGCUGGCUGCAACUGUUUAUUAAAAACACAGCACUGUGCAAACACGAAAGUGGACGUAUACGGUGUGACGCCUGCCCGGUGCCGGAAGGUUAAUUGAUGGGGUUAGCGGUAACGCGAAGCUCUUGAUCGAAGCCCCGGUAAACGGCGGCCGUAACUAUAACGGUCCUAAGGUAGCGAAAUUCCUUGUCGGGUAAGUUCCGACCUGCACGAAUGGCGUAAUGAUGGCCAGGCUGUCUCCACCCGAGACUCAGUGAAAUUGAACUCGCUGUGAAGAUGCAGUGUACCCGCGGCAAGACGGAAAGACCCCGUGAACCUUUACUAUAGCUUGACACUGAACAUUGAGCCUUGAUGUGUAGGAUAGGUGGGAGGCUUAGAAGUGUGGACGCCAGUCUGCAUGGAGCCGACCUUGAAAUACCACCCUUUAAUGUUUGAUGUUCUAACGUUGACCCGUAAUCCGGGUUGCGGACAGUGUCUGGUGGGUAGUUUGACUGGGGCGGUCUCCUCCUAAAGAGUAACGGAGGAGCACGAAGGUUGGCUAAUCCUGGUCGGACAUCAGGAGGUUAGUGCAAUGGCAUAAGCCAGCUUGACUGCGAGCGUGACGGCGCGAGCAGGUGCGAAAGCAGGUCAUAGUGAUCCGGUGGUUCUGAAUGGAAGGGCCAUCGCUCAACGGAUAAAAGGUACUCCGGGGAUAACAGGCUGAUACCGCCCAAGAGUUCAUAUCGACGGCGGUGUUUGGCACCUCGAUGUCGGCUCAUCACAUCCUGGGGCUGAAGUAGGUCCCAAGGGUAUGGCUGUUCGCCAUUUAAAGUGGUACGCGAGCUGGGUUUAGAACGUCGUGAGACAGUUCGGUCCCUAUCUGCCGUGGGCGCUGGAGAACUGAGGGGGGCUGCUCCUAGUACGAGAGGACCGGAGUGGACGCAUCACUGGUGUUCGGGUUGUCAUGCCAAUGGCACUGCCCGGUAGCUAAAUGCGGAAGAGAUAAGUGCUGAAAGCAUCUAAGCACGAAACUUGCCCCGAGAUGAGUUCUCCCUGACCCUUUAAGGGUCCUGAAGGAACGUUGAAGACGACGACGUUGAUAGGCCGGGUGUGUAAGCGCAGCGAUGCGUUGAGCUAACCGGUACUAAUGAACCGUGAGGCUUAACCUUACAACGCCGAAGCUGUU